UACAGAGGGUGCAAGCGUUAAUCGGAAUUACUGGGCGUAAAGGGCGCGUAGGCGGUUUAUUAAGUUAGGUGUGAAAUCCCCGGGCUUAACCUGGGACGUGCAUUUAAUACUGGUGAGCUAGAGUAGAGUAGAGGGAAGUGGAAUUUCCGGUGUAGCGGUGAAAUGCGUAGAUAUCGGAAAGAACACUUGUGGCGAAGGCGACUUCCGGGACUCAUACUGACGCUGAGGCGCGAAAGCGUGGGGAGCAAACAGG
Molecule: ribosomal RNA, 253 nt
Filed under: uncultured bacterium
Lineage: Bacteria
Description: partial 16S ribosomal RNA
Rfam family: Bacterial small subunit ribosomal RNA
Source: RNAcentral